UAUCUGGUUAUGUCAAUGGUUCUUCACUCUUGUGACCACCUAGGCUGGAAGCUGUAGUAACCUUCCACUCCUGCUUCCCCUUUGGCCGAGUCUCCGCCAUGACGCUAGCAUGCCUCACCUCCUCCCCACCCCUCCUCAUGUCUCAGGCUCUCAAGUCCUCCUUUCUGGACUCUUCCUCAGCCUCCCCACCAGUCCUCCUUCCCAGUCGUUCCUCCCUCCCUGUGACCAAUGCUGUCCCAGAGCAGACUUCUAUUCUGGUUCCUCAUCACCAGCUGAUCCAAGUGAAGCCCCUCAACUGGGCAUUCACGGCCCCCCUUCUGCAGCCUGGACCCAGCUGACCACUCCACGCUUCACGUCCACACACACCCCUUUCUAGGCAAACUUGACCUCUUGCUGAUUCCUAUAGGGGCCAUGCCGCACGCUUGCUUCUCUGUGGCUCUCCUGAGGAUACUUCCUCUUCCUCAGAACCUUCUUUUCUUGUACCUGCUUUCAAAAUUGUAUCAUCCCGAAAGCUUCACCUUGUAUCUCAUCAUUUAAUCUUCCCAGAUUUCCCAAACACGUGUUGUCUCCCUUCCUGGCCUCCAGUCACCCUUUGUUCCUCUCCUUCUCUGCCUUUUGUUAUAUAGUUGUUAUGCAUUUCUUUAUAUUUGUUGAAUAUCAAGGUUCUGGAAGGCAGAGACAUGCCUCUGUUACCCUUUUCCCCCAGCAGGACCUAGCGCAGUGCCUUGUGAACAGUAGGUGCUCUAGACACACUUAGUAGAUAGAUAAAUGUCACUGAGUGGAAAAAAAGGGUUCAUAUUGCAAGUUUUUUUUUCUUUAAUGCAAACUUGACAUGAUAAAAAUAUACUUGAUUUUGGGUGGAAGCAAUAGCUGAGUGGCAGCGGCUGCUGAUUGUGUUCUAGGGGAGAGAGUAGGGGAAGACGUUUGCUUUCCCAGAACAGCCUAUCUCAUUCCUUUCCUUCAGUUACCCAUAGCGCAGAGAGUCAGAGCGGCAGUUGUAGCAGCAAGGGUGGCUGUGGCAGUGGUGGCAGCUACAGUGACAUGUCCAGCAUGAAUCCCAAAUAUGAUUAUUUAUUCAAAUUACUUCUGAUUGGCGACUCUGGGGCUGGAAGGUCUUGCCUCCUUCGUAGGUUUGCAGAUGAUACAUAUACGGAAAGCUACAUCAGCACAGUUGGUGUGGAUUUCAAAAUAAGAACUAUAGAGUUAGAUGGGAAAACAAUCAAGCUUCAAAUAUGGAACACAGCAGAACAGGAAAGAUUUCGAAAAGUCAUCUCCAGUUAUUACAGAGGAGCCAGGGGCAUCCUGGUUGUGUAUGAUGUGACAGAUCAAGAGUCCUUGAAUAAUAUUAAACAGUGACUGCAGAAAAUAGAUCAUUAUCCCAGUGAAAACAUCAACAGAUUGUUGGUAGGGAACAAGUGUGAUCUGACCACAAAGAAAGUAGUAGACUACACAACAGCAAAGGAAUUUGCUGAUUCCCUUGGAAUUCUGUUUUUGGAAACAAGUGCUAAGAAUAAAAAAAAAGAAAAUGCAAUGAAUGUAGAACAAUCUUCCAUGAUGAUGGCAGCUGAGAUUAAAAAGCUAAUGGGUCCUGGAAUAACAGCUAGUCGUGCUGAGAAGCCCAGUGUUAAAAUUCAGAGCACUCUGGUCAAGCAUCAGGUGGAGGUUCCUGCUAAAAUUUGCCUCCGUCCUUUUCUCACAGUAAUGAAUUUGCAAUCUGAACCCAAGUGAAAAACCAUUGUCUGAAUUAUACUGUAUGUAGCUGUACUACAACAGAUUCUUACCAUCUCCACAGAGGUCAGAGAUUGUAAAUGGUCAUUACUGACUUUCUUUUUAUUCUCUUGACUCAAAACAGCUAACUUCAUUUUCAGAACUGUUUUUAAACCUUUGUGUGCUGGUUUAUAAAAUAAUGUAUUUUCCUGAUAGCAGACUGUUUUCUCGUGGUUGGUUAGACUGUAUUUUGUUUUGAUGUUUAUAUUGGCGUGUUUAGAUGUCAGGUCUAGUCUUCUGAAGACGAAGUUCAGCUGUUUUGUAUCAAACAGCACAAGCAGUGUCUGUCACUUUC
Molecule: RNA transcript, 2062 nt
Organism: Rhinopithecus roxellana (golden snub-nosed monkey)
Lineage: Eukaryota; Metazoa; Chordata; Mammalia; Primates; Cercopithecidae
Gene name: ras-related protein Rab-1A-like
Exons: 2
Source: RefSeq, a predicted model, not a curated record